AUGCUCGCUUUGGCAGCACAUAUACUGAAAUUGGAACGACACGGGCAAGAUUAGCAUGGCCCCUGCGAAAGGAUGACACACACAAAAAAAAAACAAAAACGCAGCAA
This 107-nucleotide small nuclear RNA is filed under the name Myotis brandtii (Brandt's bat). Lineage: Eukaryota; Metazoa; Chordata; Mammalia; Chiroptera; Vespertilionidae. The record is from RNAcentral.